CCUACGGGAGGCAGCAGUGGGGAAUAUUGGACAAUGGGCGAAAGCCUGAUCCAGCCAUGCCGCGUGUGUGAAGAAGGCCUUCGGGUUGUAAAGCACUUUCAGUGGGGAAGAAAGCCUUGGGGCUAAUACCCUCGAGGAAGGACAUCACCCACAGAAGAAGCACCGGCUAACUCCGUGCCAGCAGCCGCGGUAAUACGGAGGGUGCGAGCGUUAAUCGGAAUUACUGGGCGUAAAGCGCGCGUAGGCGGUCUGAUAAGCCGGUUGUGAAAGCCCCGGGCUCAACCUGGGAACGGCAUCCGGAACUGUCAGGCUAGAGUGCAGGAGAGGAAGGUAGAAUUCCCGGUGUAGCGGUGAAAGGCGUAGAGAUCGGGAGGAAUACCAGUGGCGAAGGCGGCCUUCUGGACUGACACUGACGCUGAGGUGCGAAAGCGUGGGUAGCAAACAGGAUUAGAUACCCGUGUAGUC
Molecule: ribosomal RNA, 465 nt
Filed under: Vreelandella stevensii
Lineage: Bacteria; Pseudomonadati; Pseudomonadota; Gammaproteobacteria; Oceanospirillales; Halomonadaceae
Description: partial 16S ribosomal RNA
Rfam family: Bacterial small subunit ribosomal RNA
Source: RNAcentral